UACAUCUUUGUGGGCAGUGGCGGAGGACGAAAAAAAAUUAAGGUAGGGCGAGGUAAGUCGAGCUAGCUUGUGCACAUCAAAUUUAGAGAAUGAAUCCCUCGGGUCAAGUCGUCAAGACAAGAAAAGGAAACAAGCAACUCUGAAGAUACCUCGUUAAACCUUUGAUCAAACUCUAUGGUAAUACUAGCAUCUAUAGCAGCAUAAAAGGUAUCAACACGAAAAUAAUGGUCAGCACAAGGAGCACUUGGCACCAGGUGUUUUGCGCGAGUACAGGAAGCGGCCCAUGUUCCAGACACAGAUUGAUUCGGGCAACUACGAUCAUUUGCCAACAGAGUUGAAGCCCCUUGGCAGGAUAUUCUAACCGUAGUGAUCUUGUUCUUGCUCCCUUUUCUUGAUCUUCCAAAUCCUGUCACUGAUUCAUUCAUAUUUGGUAUUGGAAUAUCAUUUUCACUGCAGAAUUUUGUGGCUUCCUGUAAUAGUGGCUCCCAACCAUCAUUCCUCAAAUUCAUCAAAUGUGUUUUCACAUCAAUAACCAAAGACAUGGCUUGAACAAUAUUUUGAUCCUUCCUUUGCAAGACAAGAGUCAUUUUGUGAUGCGAAGGAUUUGCAACAUCAUCUUCAUGAUGAACACAAAGCUAAACGACUCCAUGAUUUGCACUAAACCUCCUGCCCUACUUGGAUUACGCUCAUCUUCAUGCACAAUCUGUAGAACUUCAGUUACUGAAUCCCACAUUGAUUCAAGACGAAGUAAUGUCUUAUAAUGAGAACCACAUCUUGUAUCUCUAGGUCUAGUCAAGGAUGUUGCUUGAUUUUUCCCUCUGCCCUGAAGAAAUCUCU
RNAcentral lists this long non-coding RNA (837 nucleotides) under Sorghum bicolor (sorghum). RNAcentral's name for it is "long non-coding RNA (SBIC_LNC015271)". Lineage: Eukaryota; Viridiplantae; Streptophyta; Magnoliopsida; Poales; Poaceae. The record is from RNAcentral.